AUUGAACGCUGGCGGCAGGCCUAACACAUGCAAGUCGAGCGAGCGGCGGACGGGUGAGUAAUGUAUGGGGACUGCCCGAUAGAGGGGGAUAACUAAUGGAAACGGUGGCUAAUACCGCGUACUAACGGAGAACCCAUAUGGGAUGAGCUAGUAGGGGGGGUAAAGGCGCACCUAGGCGACGAUCUCUAGCUGGUCUGAGAGGAUGAACAGCCAUCCUGGGACUGAGACACGGCCCAGACUCCUACGGAGGCUGCAUUGGGGAAUAUUUCACAAUGGGCUCAAGCCUGAUGCAGCCAUGCCGCGUGUCUGCAGCAGGCCUUAGCGUUGUACAGUCCUUUCAGCGGGGACGCGUUCCCCGCAGAUGAAUCACCGGCUAACUCCGUGCCAGCAGCCGCGGUAUUAC
RNAcentral lists this ribosomal RNA (403 nucleotides) under uncultured bacterium. RNAcentral describes it as "partial 16S ribosomal RNA". It matches the Rfam family "Bacterial small subunit ribosomal RNA", at positions 30 to 526 of the family's 1533-position model. The record is from RNAcentral.